AGCCUUGUGUAUCCGUGCUGAGAUUUCGCCACACAUCAGACGACAUGGGCUGAUGAGUCUCUCAAGAUAAGUGAAGCG
RNAcentral lists this microRNA precursor (78 nucleotides) under Schistosoma mansoni. Its description in RNAcentral is "mir-3492 microRNA precursor family". It matches the Rfam family "mir-3492 microRNA precursor family". The record is from Rfam by way of RNAcentral. Lineage: Eukaryota; Metazoa; Platyhelminthes; Trematoda; Strigeidida; Schistosomatidae.